CCUACGGGUGGCUGCAGUGAGGAAUAUUGGUCAAUGGCCGGAAGGCUGAACCAGCCAUGCCGCGUGAAGGUCAGUGCCCUAUGGGCGUUAAACUUCUUUUGUGCGGGAGCAAUAAUGGUCACGUGUGGCCAGACGAGAGUACCGUACGAAUAAGCAUCGGCUAACUCCGUGCCAGCAGCCGCGGUAAUACGGGGGAUGCAAGCGUUUUCCGGAGUUAUUGGGUUUAAAGGGUGCGUAGGCUGUGCGGUAAGUCAGCGGGGAAAUGCCCCCGCUCAAAGGGGUGAAGUGCCAUUGAUACUGCCGUGCUGGAGUGCGGAUGCGGUGGGAGGAAUGUGUGGUGUAGCGGUGAAAUGCAUAGAUAUCACACAGAACACCGAUUGCGAAGGCAUCUCACGAAUCCGCGAUUGACGCUGAUGCACGAAAGCGUGGGUAUCAAACAGGAUUAGAUACCCCGGUAGUC
This 460-nucleotide ribosomal RNA is filed under the name uncultured bacterium. Its description in RNAcentral is "partial 16S ribosomal RNA". It matches the Rfam family "Bacterial small subunit ribosomal RNA", at positions 338 to 795 of the family's 1533-position model. The record is from RNAcentral.